RNAcentral lists this ribosomal RNA (453 nucleotides) under Theileria cf. mutans 2. RNAcentral's name for it is "SSU rRNA". It matches the Rfam family "Eukaryotic small subunit ribosomal RNA", at positions 486 to 984 of the family's 1831-position model. The record is from RNAcentral. Lineage: Eukaryota; Apicomplexa; Aconoidasida; Piroplasmida; Theileriidae.
CGGGGCUCAAUGCCUUGUAAUUGGAAUGAUGGGAAUCUAAACCCCUUCCAGAGUAUCAAUUGGAGGGCAAGUCUGGUGCCAGCAGCCGCGGUAAUUCCAGCUCCAAUAGCGUAUAUUAAAAUUGUUGCAGUUAAAAAGCUCGUAGUUGAAUUUCUGCCGCCCCGACGAGACCCCACGGGCCCGACGCUGCGGCUUAUUUCGGACUUGCGUGCAUCUCCGAAUGUUUACUUUGAGAAAAUUAGAGUGCUCAAAGCAGGCCCUUGCCUUGAAUACUUUAGCAUGGAAUAAUAAAGUAGGACUUUGGUUCUAUUUUGUUGGUUUAGCACCAAAGUAAUGGUUAAUAGGAACAGUUGGGGGCAUUCGUAUUUAACUGUCAGAGGUGAAAUUCUUAGAUUUGUUAAAGACGAACCACUGCGAAAGCAUUUGCCAAGGAUGUUUUCAUUAAUCAAGAAC